RNAcentral lists this ribosomal RNA (776 nucleotides) under uncultured Neocallimastigales. Its description in RNAcentral is "partial large subunit ribosomal RNA". It matches the Rfam family "Eukaryotic large subunit ribosomal RNA", at positions 24 to 645 of the family's 3401-position model. Lineage: Eukaryota; Fungi; Neocallimastigomycota; Neocallimastigomycetes; Neocallimastigales. The record is from RNAcentral.
UAUCUCUGUAGAGUCUGCAUAUCAAUAAGCGGAGGAAAAGAAACUAACAAGGAUUCCCUUAGUAACGGCGAGUGAAGCGGGAAGAGCUCAAAUUUGAAAUCUUCAAGGUUCUACCUUGACGAAUUGUAGUUUAUAGAAGUGUUUUCUGUUAGUGGAGUGGCAAAAGUUCUUUGGAAUAGGACAUCAUAGAGGGUGAGAAUCCCGUAUUUGGUCAUUCCUCCUAGCGUUGUGAUACACUUUCAACGAGUCGGAUUGUUUGGGAAUGCAGUCCAAAAUGGGUGGUAAAUUUCAUCUAAAGCUAAAUAUUGGCGAGAGACCGAUAGCGAACAAGUACCGUGAGGGAAAGAUGAAAAGAACUUUGAAAAGAGAGUUAAACAGUACGUGAAAUUGUCAAAAGGGAAGCGUUUGACACCAGUGUUGUUUUUCCGAAAAUCAAUUACGAAUGUUUUGUUUUUAAGAAGUUAUGACUUCAUCGGCUUGCUCCUUUCUUUAGCGAAACUUUCUUAAUGCACUUUUCGGUUAACAAGUCAACAUCAAUUUCUUUUGUUGUAAAAGGGUAUGAGGAAGGUGGCUUUCUUUUCGGAGAAAGUGUUUAUAGCCUUGUGCCUCUGCAAUCGGAGAGAUUGAGGUCUGCAGCGUAGAUCCUUCGGGGUUAGAUACAUUUGUGCUAAGUUAUAGGCCUUGUCAUAGACAACUUGUUGACUAUGUUUAGUCUUGUAGCUUACUCGCUGACGCUAUCUUACCUACGCUUAGGAUGUUGAUGUGAUACUGCGAGC